UUCCCUCCGGCUCUAUUUAAGGAGGAGAACCCUCCUCUCUCCUCUCAUCGAGAAAUCCCGAGGCAAAACGGCGGCAAUCGCCGGAAAUUCCUCUUAGAGACCCGUCACUGUGCCGUCCAAUUUCUCGCCGGAAAAGCCUCGCCGGCGACGGAGGUAAGCCUCCUCCCCUUCCUCUCUCCUCCCCCUUCCUUCCCGUGCCGAUGUGCACGCUCGCCGGCGACCGGAGUCGCCGGAUUUUGUUGCGGAAGAAUCUUUCCUUUUAUCAUUUUUCUAUCGUCGGUGGUCACCGUCGACCACCGGUUUGGCCGCCCCUUGCCGUCGGAACGUCUCCUCUCCUGCCGAUGGUCGUACCACGC
Molecule: long non-coding RNA, 356 nt
Filed under: Elaeis guineensis (African oil palm)
Lineage: Eukaryota; Viridiplantae; Streptophyta; Magnoliopsida; Arecales; Arecaceae
Description: long non-coding RNA (EGUI_LNC016499)
Source: RNAcentral